RNAcentral lists this long non-coding RNA (6775 nucleotides) under Sorghum bicolor (sorghum). Its description in RNAcentral is "long non-coding RNA (SBIC_LNC000233)". The record is from RNAcentral. Lineage: Eukaryota; Viridiplantae; Streptophyta; Magnoliopsida; Poales; Poaceae.
GCUCUGUCAUGCGUCUCCUAUUUCAUCAGGAUUCGUGAUGGUCGAGACAGCCCAUCUGUUUCCAAGGUUCAAUUCCCAGACUGCUUAUUCUCGUUCGAUUCCUGUUUCUCCAUCUCUAUUCCUAACUUAAAUUCCUUUCAAUUCCCGUCUAGAACUUUAGUCCUUGUUUAGAUUCAAAAAGUUUUUGACACUGUAGCACUUUCGUUCUUAUUUGAUAAACAUUGUCUAAUCAUGGAGUAGCUAGAUUUAAAAGAUUCGUCUCACGAUUUACAGUCAAACUAUGCAAUUAGUUUUUAUUUUUAUCUAUAUUUAAUGCUUCAUGCAUGUGCCGCAAGAUUCCAUGUGACGAAGAAUCUUAAAAAGUUUUUUAUUUUUUGGGUGAACUAAACAAGGCCUUAGUUCAAAAAAAUGAAAAAAAAAUAGAUUCCCCAUCACAGCGAAUCUUGCGGCACAUAUAUGGAGUAUUAAUAUAAAUAAAAAAUACUAAUUGCACAGUUUGUCUGUACUUUGCGAGACGAAUCUUUUGAGCCUAAUUAGUUCAUGAUUGAACAAUAUUUAUCAAAUACAAACAAAAGUGCUACAAUGUCCAUUUAGUUCCAAAAAAAUUGCAAAAUGGACAUUGUAGUAUUUUCGUUUGUAUUUGAUAAAUAUUGUCCAAUCAUGGACUAACUAGGCUCAAAAGAUUCGUCUCGCAAAUUAUAGGCAAACUGUAUAAUAAAUUAUUUUUUAUCUAUAUUUAAUACUUCUUGCAUACGCCACAAGAUUUGAUGUGAUAAAGAAUCUAAAUUUUUUGUAAAUUUUUUCAAGAACUAAAUAAGACCAGAGUGCCUAAAAAAAAAUUGGAACUAAACAACCUUGCUCACCUUUCUUAUACCUCUAUCUUCUCCCUCGGUCAGACACUCCUCUCUCUCUCAUCCAACAAUCGUCUCUCUUUAUCCCUCUUUUUCUCUCUCUCUCUUCCUCUCUCUCCCUCAGAUCCGACACUCGUCUCUCUCCAAAUUUGAGCAAUUUGUUUCCCCUUUCGAGCUCUUUCUCUCUCUCCAGAAAGCUCUCGGCCUCUUUCUGCCAAACGCUCUAGAGUCCCAUCUCUCUCCCGUUCUUUUUCCAUUUUUUUUACAAUAUUGGUUUAUUUAAAUUCAACUUACCAAUAAGCUACCGUAGUUCCGAUUUAUAUUCUAGCUUGCAUUUUCUGCUACAAUGUCAAUUUUUCCCUUCUCUUCCCCAAUAUUUUUUAUCUUAGUUUAUUUUUAAUCCAAGUUACCUGACCUGCUGCAGUUUUGAUUCGUGUUCUGGCUUGCAUUCUUUUGCUCUCAUCUCUUGAUUCUUUUCCCUUCUCUUCCCCAAUAUUUUCUUAUAUGAGAAAUUUUACAAUGGUUGAAAAAAACAUGGACCAUCCAUUGUCUACGAUCGGACGGUGGAAAAGUAGGAAGAACCGAAGCGAAAGUACGUGGAAGUACAAAUAGUAGGAGAAAGUACCAGAUUUGAUAGGACCGGUACCAAAAUAUGUGGUACCAUAUCUUUUUUUUAUUUUCAUUUUUUUCGAAUAAGGGCUAUUCUGUCAUUUCAAUGUGGCCAUUAAAGGGUAGAAAAGAGAUUUUCCAUGUCUUAUACGAAGGGUCAUCCACUCAUCCGGCUUCUCGUACUUGGGCAUGGCGUUGCAUCUCUCUCCCCACCGGCAGGUGUGGCCAGAGCGGAGUGCUCUGCAGUGCGGCGGCGGGGAGUGCGGGGCGGGCGGGGCGCCGGAUCCCGAGCGAGCUGCUCCUGCCGGUGAGUGCACCCGCGCACGCUUGUUGGAUGCGCUAGGACGCGAGUUCUGGUGAGCCUCGGUGGAGGUGCGGUGGCCGGAGUGCGACGGGGACGGCUGUGACUCCGGAGCGCGGCGGUCUGGGACUCUUGAGCGCGGCGGCCGGUGCUGGGCGCGGCCCCGAUGGGCGUGGUCGGCGCGGGCAUGGCGAGGCUGGAGAGCUGGGCCUAGGAUUGCAUCGUCGAGGUAUGAACAUUCCUGGCUUAUCCCUUGCAUUUGGGUGGAAGAAGAAUACAAAAAAAGAUCUAGUUUACAUUGAGUUUGUGGCCAGGUGCAAAUUUGGUCAAGUUUAGAUAGAGGUCUAGUAUUUGCCUGUAUCUUUUUAAUUUGUUAGCGUUGGCAAAUUUGGCAUUGGUUUUUUAUUACAGAACUAACUAGGACCGAAUCUGACAUGAGUACAUGAGUAACUAGCAUCAGAUAAAAUCUUACUCUUCUGAAAAUCGAGUUUGGAAGCCAAAUUGUUGAGCACUCGUUCCCUGGUUAGCUGACAGGAUUGCAUAGUUGUUCUGUAGUUAGCAAUCAAAGGAGCAGUGCCUGCUCAUGACGUGCUGGUCUCUGUUCUAGACUUGUAGCAGGUGUUGGAGUUGGAACAACCCACGGCUUCGUCAAUACACCCAGACCCAAUCCCAUCCCCACACUGAAUCUUCUUUUUCUUUACUUUCAUCCACAAUCUUCCCGGGUUUCUCUGACAAAGAUAGUAAGAUGGGUGAAUCAUUUGUUGUCAAUAUUGGUUGUCAAAAAACAGUUGCUCUUUUAAAGCUUGCGUUGCGUGUGUGAAUGAGGGCAGCAGGUAUCAUGCUGCAGUUUGGCUUUCGUUUUGCUAGAUUUAUGUGAAAACUGUGGGAGCUCCAAUGAUUACCUUGCUUUGUUUAAACAUAAACAUCUCAUAGAAACAAUAAUACCAAGCUGGACAUUGAACAUAGGCCAAUUAUCUCUUAGUAUAUAGAAAUUACAGGCUGAACACAAAUAAUGGAAAUAGUAACAUUAUUACAUAUAGAGUCGAUAAUGUAACUUAAAAUUUCUUGUAGGGGCUCAACUGCAACGGUCCUGGAUUAGAGACCCUGCGAUUUGGGCGUUCGACACGAUUAGCAAUAGACGCGGUGGUUAACUGGUCUUUCACAGACAUUGGAGUUUUGUCGUUCUUCUUUGGGCGUCCCCGUUUUCUUUUAUUUGAGGUAUUGGAGUUGCUGGCAUCUAUAGGAUUGCUGAUCUCUUUGACAUCGUCGUCAGCAGCCUCAUUCUUCUUUGGGCGACCCCGUCCCCUUUUAUCUGAGGAAUGGGAGUUGCUGGCAUGUAUAGGAUUGUUAAUCUCUUUGACAUCGUCAUCAGCCGCCUUACUCAUGUCUUCUUGCUGAACUUCAGCACAUUUUGCAUCGUAAGCCUCUUUCUGAAAGUUCAAAUGAGACAUGUUAGAUACAACGAACAAGUAUUGAACCCAUGAUAAGAAUGUGAUACAUUGUUAUACCACGUACCGUAAUAAGGUCCUUAUAUGAGCCUAAUCGAAGCUUGUUGCAAUCAGAUCGCAGGAGUGCGGAGCUAAUUUUCCUUUUGAAAAUAUGUAUGUGGGUCUGAAUUUCAGAAGAACUAACAUGAUGUUUAAAAAGUGCCAGUCUAUGUUUUAGUGAUUAGAUAUAUGUAGUCUAUAAAUAAUAUAAGAGUGACCUGUGUGAAAUGUUCUGUCAUCUUGUCCCCAUCCCAUGCCAUCAUGUACUUAAGGACGAAUGCACCACAAGAAUGGCUGCAGGUAUAUAAUGUUAAAUAAGUAUAGUAGAGAAAUAAAUUUUAUAGGAAAAGUAUAAUAUAUUACCCAUCUGUUUGUUGUGGUAUGUUAGAAUACAUUUCUGUUUCCCACUGCAUAAUAUUGAUAGCUUGGGUUACUGAAACAUUACCAACGGCAAUAGCAAAGUCAAUGCACUCUUGUAUGUUGCCCACCUAUUUUAUUGUUCGACAUAUGAUUAGUUAGAUGUGUAAAAGCUAUGUGUUAAUUGUGUUGUGUAUGUAACUAAUAUAAUAAGCGUACUUACCAGUGUAUGUUCUUUGACCACAUCUCUAGUAUGGGGGUUGGAGGCUAGGGAGUUAAGGAUUUGAAUCUCUCCUUUUAAGAAAUUCAGUACUAAUAGGACCCAGUGGUUGUCAUUUACAUUCAUUGGGACAAAUAUCUAUAGAAAAUGGGUGUAAGUACUAAUAGGGGAGAUAUAAGUAUAGAGAUUUAAAUGAAAUUAUACAUACCAAAUUCUUUCCAAUACAUUUGUUUGCAAUUAGGUUAGCCCAUGUUGUUGUUUGUUUUGCAUUGUCUAUGCCUCCAGUUUCACCUAACAACUUUCGAGCCUGCAAAGUUGUUAUGAAUGAUGUGGAAUCGGUCUCCACACUGCUUAUAUGUGCGUAAGCAUUGAUAACCUGAGGUUUGAAAUGUAGGUAACAUCACACAUAUGUAGACAAGAUGAUUUAGAUGCACUGAAAAGGUCUAACCUGAUCAUAUAUGAAGCCAUCUGUGACAUUUUUCUGUAAGUGUUCAAUUGUGAGGACAUAGUCAUCUAUUUGAACAACUUCAGCCUUUGAGUAACUAUAUGUUAAGAAAUAGAAAGCCUCUGUGUCCUCUGUAGUGAUGAGGUAAUCCUUGUCGAAUGCAGGCUUCCGUGGUCCAAUUUGAUGAGUGGGAGCAUGUCGAGGCUCCUUAUUUUCUGCCAUAAUCUUAUCCUGGAAAGCAGGCUUGUGUGGUGCAAUUUGAUUUGUGGGAAGGUCUAAAGGCACCUUAUUAUCUGCCAUAAUCUUAUCCUGUCUAGUAGAUGCUUCCUCAGGUUCUUUGCCCUCCUCUUUGAAUUGAUAUUGUUGAAAGAAUACUGUACAAUUUUGUGGAUGUAGACUCGAUGGUUCCUGAAAAAUAGAUUGUCAAUGAGGGCCAAACAGUUGGUCGUACAAAGAAAAUGUCCAAAGUAUACCUGGAUGUAUGCAGCCUUCGACAUAGACUGUAGAUUUGCCUGCAGUAGUUGCCUCAAUUCCUGUCACAGGAAACUUUCAGUCGGACUGUUAUAUAAGAAUCAAUUGAUUAAAUCACUGUGUUAAAAUAGCAUACCUGAAAUUCCUGUUUUAAUUCAGCAAAAUCAUCCUCUAGCUUAGAUAUUCUCAUUCCUACAACACCCCCCAUUUUUAUUUCUGCUAUCGCCUCGCCGUGUGCAAGAAGUUUGGCAUCAAGUUUAUGCUCUAGGGACAUGAAUUGUCUACCCAUAUCAUUCUGAAAUACUAGAUGAUUGUUGUUCAUACGUUGUACUAUUUGCUCCAUCUGUGCCAUAAAUAGGAGUACAAGUUGAUUAGAGAUACAUUAUAAAUGUAGUAAAUAAACAAAGCAAGUUGGUCUGAUAGGUUUACCUGUUGCUUAUUGAUACUCUGUUCUAGUGAACGUGGCUGAUAGCUGACACCUUCAUGUGCAUGUAUACGUUCAUUUGCUGAACUGAUAGGCAUGGUUUCAUCAAAUUUAGUGUGUCCUAUGAUUUGAGCUAUGUUCAUAACAACCUUGAAAAGGUGGCCAAAGUUAGGAUUGAAGGAGAGAAUAGAACAUAUAUAAUUUUGUGUACUCAAACUUACAAUUCCAUCGUCUAUUUUGUUUUUUCUACCAGCUUCCGUUCUUACUUUAGCUGUGCUUUCAUCCUAUCUUGCCAUCAGUGGUGGUGGGAUUGGGGCAUAGGUAAAACCGUGGUGGCUAUAUGGAUGCACAUGCUCCCAGUACCAGAACUACAUGUAGGAAACAUUAGUGAUGCUAUAGGAAAUUGAAUCAUACUCCAGACGACUAUGUAAGACUUACUUGCAGCAGUGUUAAAUUCCCCUGUAAAUUAACUUGUUCGCCAUGGUUGAAAUUAUGAAUUGAGCUCAGCAGAUGAGUCAAAGUGAAUUGACCCCAAUUAAACUUUGCAAUGUUGCUCGCGUCCUCAACCACCGACAAAUAUUUGGAGUCUACAUAAUCCUUUGUUGUCGGUGCUAGGAGAACUCCAAUUGCGAACAAAACAAAUACCCUAAUGAAGUCAUCGUCUGGUUCUUUAUCUUUGGAUUCAGUAAGAAUUUGCAAUAGGUCAGUAGUCCAUAUUCUGUUCCCACUUCCAUAAGCAAUGAUCAAGUUUAUGUUUGGUUUUGUUUUUGUCCAACUAAAUACAUCCAAUCCUUGUAUGGGGAGGUCCAUUAUUUUGAGUACAUCCUGUGAUGUCAUAGGUAUAUUCUGACCACAUAUAUGGAAUCGCUGAUUCUUGUAGUCAAGACGCUUAGCAAGCUUAAUCAAUAUCAUACGACGAAGGGUCACUGGGUUCAAAUGUAGGAGCCCUCCAAGGCCACAAUGUUCAAUAGCUUUUUUGUGUUUAUCUGAUAAGCCUUUAACCAUGUUUCCAAAUCUGAAUGGUGAGCAUACUAGAUGCAUUUUAGAAUGUUUGCUGACAAUCUGCAACAGACAUGAAUGCUACCUAAGUUACGAGAUAUUGAACUAAUUCUACAUGAAUAAAUCAUUGUCAACAAGUAUACCUCGUCAUCACUAUCUGGUAGCGGCGAUUCAUUGGCUAAUUGGAUACCUGGUCCAACCACUGGUGCGCGUGGUGCAGAAUUCUUCAUGGUCAAAGUAGGUUGAUUUUCAUGACUGUCAGGUAUGAUGCCGUCAGUUCUUGAAGCGUUGCCAUCGCUUCGUGUCAACACCGACGCUUCCAUCAUGUGUACAAAUUUGGCCAAGGCUUUUUUGUUCCUAGAAAAUCAGCACAGAUUACAUGUAGAAGUUGAUUGUAGUACAAAGAAAAUACAUAAGGCUGAUCAUACUAAUGUUAAGCACCUCUUUGAUGUAACAGCAGAUGUGGUGAAGGGCAGGAGGAUGUUGGAGGCCGAGCGUGGCUUGACAGCGGCGAGGCAGAGAUGUAGACUGAUCGGCACACCUCCGCCUGGUGACUGGUGAUCCGUUGACACACGAUCGUUGCUUCACGGCGGCGAGCAGGUGAUAGAGAC